CGGGUGAGUAAUGUAUGGGGAUCUGCCUGAUGGCGGGGGAUAACUACUGGAAACGGUAGCUAAUACCGCAUAAUGUCUGCGGACCAAAGCGGGGGGACCGUCCGGGCCUCGCGCCAUCAGAUGAACCCAUAUGGGAUUAGCUUGUAGGUAAGGUAACGGCUUACCUAGGCGACGAUCCCUAGCUGGUCUGAGAGGAUGAUCAGCCACACUGGGACUGAGACACGGCCCAG
RNAcentral lists this ribosomal RNA (230 nucleotides) under uncultured bacterium. Its description in RNAcentral is "partial 16S ribosomal RNA". It matches the Rfam family "Bacterial small subunit ribosomal RNA", at positions 103 to 334 of the family's 1533-position model. The record is from RNAcentral.